Long non-coding RNA from Bufo bufo (common toad), 194 nucleotides. RefSeq lists it as uncharacterized. The record is from RefSeq and is a predicted model, not a curated record. The transcript is spliced from 3 exons. Lineage: Eukaryota; Metazoa; Chordata; Amphibia; Anura; Bufonidae.
AAAAAAAUAUAACAUGUCCUAUUCUUGUCCGCGCUUUGCGGACAAGAAUAGGCAGUUAUAGUAAAGGCUGUACGUGCCGUUCCGCAGAUUGCAGAACGCACACGGAUGCCAUCCGUGUUUUGCGGAUCCGCGGUUUGCGGACCGCAAAACACAGAACGGUCAUGUGCAUGAGGCUUUAGGCUUUGUCCUCACAU